Molecule: long non-coding RNA, 2132 nt
Filed under: Bos mutus (wild yak)
Lineage: Eukaryota; Metazoa; Chordata; Mammalia; Artiodactyla; Bovidae
Description: lncRNA (ENSBMUG00000014881.1)
Source: RNAcentral
CCCACCUGGAACGCGGCGUGCUGCUGUGGGUGGCGCCCGAGGGCGUCUUCGCCAAGCGCCUCUGCCAGGGCCGCGUGUACUGGCGCGGCCCGCUUGCCCCGCACCGCGCGCAGCCCAACAAACUGGAGCGCGAGCGCACCUGCCAGCUGCUCGACACGCGCCGCUUCCUCGCGGGUAAGAGCGCGACAGCCGGGCCAUGGGUUUGAGAAUUCUGGGCCUGGGAUGGGCCUGGAAACAAAGGACAUGACACAGAAACACCGGGAGUGGGAACGAAUACGGACGUGAGCCUGUAGGAGGUGGAGGUGUAGGCUUGUGGCGGGCUUGGGACGCUGGGUGUGGGACAGAAACCUAGGACUUGGGCACGUGUUGUCUUAGGGCAUUAAGCAUAAGGUGGGCAUUGGGGCACUGGGCACAAGAUAGGCAUAGGUGAGUGGCAGUGGGCAUGAUAGUGAGCCUAGGGCACAAGGCACAGGGCCUGAGAAUUAGAAGUGAGACAUGAGACAGGCAUAGGGAUGUGGAAGUGGGCCUGGGCACGUGGGGGAUGUGGAUUUACAGGACAUGGUCAGGGGAUAUGAGCACAAAGUGGGCACCAGAUGGGAUCCCCCGACCCCAGACCCCACCAUCUUGGUGCCCAUAGAACUGCGAGCCCACCUACAAGAUGGUUGCCCGGAGCCCGAAUACCAGAUCCGGCUGUGCUUUGGUGAGGAGUACCCGGGGCCCCCGGACCAGCCCGAGGAGCGGCUCAUUAUGGCCCAUGUGGAGCCAGUCUUCGCCAGGGAGCUCCUCCUGCACUCGAAGAUCCACGGCCAGGUGCCCGGGUGGCAGGUUCCCAGCCUAGCAUCCCUGACAGCAUCAAUCACCUGCUGACACAGCUGAGUCAGCCCUAAGCGGCUUCUUCCUCCUACCAUACCCGCUAAAGCAACUCCCCACAGGGUAUAGAUCCCACCCUAGUCCUGCACCAACUGAGCCAGGGGAUUUAAGAUAGGUUGGGACAGUGGAAGCCAGUCACGGCCUUCAACCACUCAGCCACCAAGCUGGAGCCUGGGAACCAGGCGCAGAGAUAGACAGCUAGACCUGAGGCAUCAGGCUUGGAAAUCAAACUCAAUCUUGAGGCUCCAGAAAUAACAAUUAGGACAGAAACAAGGCUUGAUCUUUUUGUUAAGAGUCGGACAUGCCUACACUGGUUUACCUAAAAGUGAAAAGUGAAAGUGAAGUCGCUCAGUCGUGUCCAACUCUUUGCGACCCCAUGGACUGUUGCCUACCAGGCUCCUCUGUCCAGGGGAUUUUCCAGGCAAGAAUACUGGAGUGGGUUGCCAUUUCCUUCUCCAGGAGAUCUUCCCAACCCAGGGAUUGAACCCGGGUCUCCCGCAUUGUAAGCAGACGCUUUACCAUCUGAGCCACCAGGGAAGUACCUAAAGUGGACUCUAACCGCACUUGAUCCAUUAUAAAGUUUGCUUAAAGCUGAGUUUACUGGGAGUUCCCUGGUGCUCCAGGGGUUAGGACUCUGCACUUCCACUACUAGGGGCCCAGGUUGGAGGGAUCCCUUGUGGGGGAACUAAGAUCUUGCAAGCCCCACAGCCUGGCCAAAAAAAAGGAGCGAGGGCUGAGUUUACUAAUAAUUAGACCCUCGGUAUGGUUUAGACUGAAGCCCAACCAGUAACAGAACUGUCCCACUUCUGAGGGGUUCUGAGUUUCCAGACCCUCCUUCCACCUGCCACAAGUCUCUCUUCUUUGGAGGGGGUAAGAAGUAGUGGGGGUCGGGGCUCCCAAAACAGAGGACUUGACCUGAACCUGGGGCUUUGAAUGCUAACCACUAGACCGCCACCUGUAGAUACUGACUUUGGGGAAACCGAGGCAGGCCUAGGAUAGGAACCUAAGUGGGAGCCAGGAGUCCAUCCCAUCCCCAAGCCCCACCAAUUUUUGCAAAAUGUGAGUUGUAGGGAGUCCGUGAGAAUGGUGGAGGGAGGGAACCCCCUCCACCAUGAAGGCAGUGACCCUGCCUUGUCAGUUAAGUCACUGUUUUCUACCCCAGAUAUCAGACCUUUUACCUUUUCUGAUUUCUGACUUUAUUUAUUGGAGUUCUCCUACAGAUGGCAAUGUAAUAAAUUUUUCAGUGAUAUAUAAAUAAGCCA